UCCCUGGCAGUCCAGUGGUUAAGACUCCACGCUCCCAACGCAGAGGUCACAGGUUCAAUCCCUGGUCAGGGAA
RNAcentral lists this transfer RNA (73 nucleotides) under Bos taurus (domestic cattle). It matches the Rfam family "tRNA". From Rfam's summary of the family: Transfer RNA (tRNA) molecules are approximately 80 nucleotides in length. Their secondary structure includes four short double-helical elements and three loops (D, anti-codon, and T loops). The record is from Rfam by way of RNAcentral. RNAcentral also lists the same sequence under 2 other names. Lineage: Eukaryota; Metazoa; Chordata; Mammalia; Artiodactyla; Bovidae.